GACGAACGCUGGCGGCGUGCUUAACACACGCAAGUCGAACGGAAAGGCCCUGCUUGCAGGGUGCUCGAGUGGCGAACGGGUGAGUAACACGUGGGUGAUCUGCCCCUUACUUUGGGAUAAGCCUGGGAAACUGGGUCUAAUACUGGAUAGGACCAUGCUGUAGGUGGUGUGGUGGAAAGAUUAGUUUCGGUGAGGGAUGAGCUCGCGGCCUAUCAGCUUGUUGGUGGGGUAAUGGCCUACCAAGGCGUCGACGGGUAGCCGGCCUGAGAGGGUGGACGGCCACAUUGGGACUGAGAUACGGCCCAGACGCCUACGGGAGGCAGCAGUGGGGAAUAUUGCACAAUGGGCGCAAGCCGGAUGCAGCGACGCCGCGUGGGGGAUGACGGCCUUCGGGUUGUAAACUCCUUUCAGCCAUGACGAAGCCCUUGUGGUGACGGCAGUGGUAGAAGAAGCACCGGCUAACUACGUG
RNAcentral lists this ribosomal RNA (469 nucleotides) under uncultured bacterium. Its description in RNAcentral is "partial 16S ribosomal RNA". It matches the Rfam family "Bacterial small subunit ribosomal RNA", at positions 28 to 507 of the family's 1533-position model. The record is from RNAcentral.